AAAAAUAUCCUAAUUUAUUGUAUGGAUUAGUUUUAUUUUGUGACAUAUUAACUCACAAUUUUUAUCAUUCUCAAUCUGAUCAAGACCAAAUAGAAAUUGGUUGAUGACUGAUAUAUAUAGAUGAGUGGGCAACAAUUAUAUUCUAGCUCAUCAUUUAUCGUUUAGUUCAAAUUCAAAUUGAACUACGAUGUAAGUUAAGCAAAUGAUCAAACAUUGAACUUGUCGACCAAUACCCUAUCUAAAUUCUGAACCAUGGGAUUGGUCCGCUGGCGGCGCAGCUGGAGAUUAUGAGGGCAGCCGAGAAAGAUGACCAGUACAAGAGUCGUUGUAGCUUACCAGAAUGAGUAAUCUGGUGUUGUACGGGUGGGAGAAUGCAAGUACUCGAUUAUUGGUACUGAUGGGAGAGUGCAAUUCUCUCAAAAAAUUUAAGGAUGACAAUAGGGUGGGGUGGGUUGAGCUUAAUCCGCAAAAAUUUUAAUCCACAUCACACAUUCCUGCAAUAUAAUGAGAAGCCUGAAUGUCCCCUUUGUAACACAUUCAAGCUUAGUCUGUCUAUAUCAUUCAGAUUUUUAGUCACGGAUAGGUCAGGUGUUUCAAAAAGAUGACUGCAUAUAAAUCAUGGACAGGUCUAUUCCAUAUGUAUCAGAAAAGAUUCACUCGUUCAGUAUUGUACUUCAUGACCUGAAAUGUGAGAUCCAGGGGCGUAGCUAUGUUAUAGCAAGGGUGUCCAAUUCAUCGAAAAAUAAUAGCAUAUAUAUAAGCAAAAUGAUAUACAAAGUGAUUAAAUAACAUAUUCUGAACACCCUUAGCUUGACAUAAUAAGGUGUUGUAGCCCAGUGAUUUUAGCCGCCUUGGAAGUGCUGUUGGGGUAAAGGGUGGUUGUGAUCUGUGGAAGGAAGGUUAACUUUGGCGCCACACAUAGUGGUGUAGCAGAUCAUUUUAUCGUAAGCAAGCACAUAACAACUUUACUUGAUUUACACGACAGCCUACUUGUCUUGCACUGAACAACUACCAUUAGAUUUUCCUUCACAAGAAGGUGGCAGAGCUGUUCUGGAUAUUAGUAUCAAUUUUACAUGUGCUUUGGGAAUGGAUUAAUCACUGUUGAGGUAUGACCGCUAUUUGUGAUGUAAUUCAAGAACUUGCACCAAAUUCAGUAUAUGAUUGUGAUA
This is a long non-coding RNA of Solanum stenotomum, 1169 nucleotides long. RefSeq lists it as uncharacterized. The transcript has 3 exons. The record is from RefSeq and is a predicted model, not a curated record. NCBI's taxonomy places the organism in Eukaryota, Viridiplantae, Streptophyta, Magnoliopsida, Solanales, Solanaceae.